This 253-nucleotide ribosomal RNA is filed under the name uncultured bacterium. Its description in RNAcentral is "partial 16S ribosomal RNA". It matches the Rfam family "Bacterial small subunit ribosomal RNA", at positions 524 to 776 of the family's 1533-position model. The record is from RNAcentral.
GACGUAGGGUGCGAGCGUUGUCCGGAUUUAUUGGGCGUAAAGAGCUCGUAGGCGGCUCGUCGCGUCGACCGUGAAAACCCGCAGCUUAACUGCGGGCUUGCGGUUGAUACGGGCGGGCUAGAGUUCGGUAGGGGAGACUGGAAUUCCUGGUGUAGCGGUGAAAUGCGCAGAUAUCAGGAGGAACACCGAUGGCGAAGGCAGGUCUCUGGGCCGAUACUGACGCUGAGGAGCGAAAGCGUGGGGAGCGAACAGG